UACGUAGGAACCGAGCGUUGUCCGGAAUCAUUGGGCGUAAAGAGCGUGUAGGCGGCCACUUAAGUCCUGCGUGAAAUCUUGCGGCUCAACCGCAAGCGGUCGUGGGAAACUGGGUGGCUAGAGUGCGGGAGAGGAGAGUGGAAUUCCUGGUGUAGCGGUGGAAUGCGCAGAUAUCAGGAAGAACACCCGUGGCGAAGGCGGCUCUCUGGAACGCAACUGACGCUGAGACGCGAAAGCGUGGGGAGCAAACAGG
Molecule: ribosomal RNA, 253 nt
Filed under: uncultured bacterium
Lineage: Bacteria
Description: partial 16S ribosomal RNA
Rfam family: Bacterial small subunit ribosomal RNA
Source: RNAcentral